RNAcentral lists this ribosomal RNA (500 nucleotides) under bacterium enrichment culture clone OZDCA246. RNAcentral describes it as "bacterial SSU rRNA". It matches the Rfam family "Bacterial small subunit ribosomal RNA", at positions 9 to 490 of the family's 1533-position model. The record is from RNAcentral.
GAGUUUGAUCCUGGCUCAGAUUGAACGCUGGAGGCGUGCUUAACACAUGCAAGUCGCGCGAGAAAGGGACUUCGGUCCUGAGUAGAGCGGCGCACGGGUGAGUAACGCGUGGGUGAUCUCCCCUGGUGAUCCGGAUAACAGCUGGAAACGGCUGCUAAUACCGGAUAAUCUUCAUGUUUAGCUUCAUGGGGUAAAGGUGGCCUCUGCUUGCAAGCUACCACAUCAGGAUGAGCCCGCGUCUCAUUAGCUAGUUGGUGGGUAACGGCCUACCAAGGCGACGAUGAGUAGCUGGUCUGAGAGGAUGACCAGCCACACUGGGACUGGAACACGGCCCAGACUCCUACGGGAGGCAGCAGUGGGGAAUAUUGCGCAAUGGGCGAAAGCCUGACGCAGCGACGCCUCGUGAGGGAUGAAGGUCUUCGGAUCGUAAACCUCUGUCAAGAGGGAAGAAACCAUUGGAGUCGAACAGGCUUCUUUGCUGACGGUACCUCUGAAGGAAG